CAUUGAUGCCAUGCUUCCAGGAAAAGCCUCUAAGCUUCAGAUUGUAAGGAAUCGUACCCCAAACCGACACAGGUGGUCGGGUAGAGAAUACCAAGGCGCUUGAGAGAACUCGGGUGAAGGAACUAGGCAAAAUGGUACCGUAACUUCGGGAGAAGGUACGCUCUUGAUGGUGAAGUCCCUCGCGGAUGGAGCUGACGAGAGUCGCAGAUACCAGGUGGCUGCAACUGUUUAUUAAAAACACAGCACUGUGCAAAAUCGUAAGAUGACGUAUACGGUGUGACGCCUGCCCGGUGCCGGAAGGUUAAUUGAUGGGGUUAGACUUCGGUCGAAGCUCUUGAUCGAAGCCCCGGUAAACGGCGGCCGUAACUAUAACGGUCCUAAGGUAGCGAAAUUCCUUGUCGGGUAAGUUCCGACCUGCACGAAUGGCGUAAUGAUGGCCACGCUGUCUCCACCCGAGACUCAGUGAAAUUGAAAUCGCUGUGAAGAUGCAGUGUACCCGCGGCUAGACGGAAAGACCCCGUGAACCUUUACUACAGCUUGGCACUGAACAUUGACCCUACAUGUGUAGGAUAGGUGGGAGGCUUUGAAGCACGUACGCCAGUAUGUGUGGAGCCGUCCUUGAAAUACCACCCUUGUAGUGUUGAUGUUCUAACGUCGACCCCUUAUCGGGGUUGCGGACAGUGCCUGGUGGGUAGUUUGACUGGGGCGGUCUCCUCCCAAAGAGUAACGGAGGAGCACGAAGGUGGGCUAAUCACGGUUGGACAUCGUGAGGUUAGUGCAAUGGCAUAAGCCCGCUUGACUGCGAGAAUGACAAUUCGAGCAGGUGCGAAAGCAGGUCAUAGUGAUCCGGUGGUUCUGAAUGGAAGGGCCAUCGCUCAACGGAUAAAAGGUACUCCGGGGAUAACAGGCUGAUACCGCCCAAGAGUUCAUAUCGACGGCGGUGUUUGGCACCUCGAUGUCGGCUCAUCACAUCCUGGGGCUGAAGUCGGUCCCAAGGGUAUGGCUGUUCGCCAUUUAAAGUGGUACGCGAGCUGGGUUUAGAACGUCGUGAGACAGUUCGGUCCCUAUCUGCCGUGGGCGUUGGAAGAUUGAAGGGGGCUGCUCCUAGUACGAGAGGACCGGAGUGGACGAACCUCUGGUGUUCGGGUUGUGUCGCCAGACGCAUUGCCCGGUAGCUAAGUUCGGAAUCGAUAACCGCUGAAAGCAUCUAAGCGGGAAGCGAGCCCUGAGAUGAGUCUUCCCUGAUACUUUAAGUAUCCUAAAGGGUUGUCGGAGACUACGACGUUGAUAGGUCAGGUGUGUAAGUGCUGUGAGGCAUUGAGCUAACUGAUACUAAUUGCCCGUGAGGCUUAACCAUACAACACCCAAGGGGUUU
RNAcentral lists this ribosomal RNA (1375 nucleotides) under Vibrio parahaemolyticus. RNAcentral describes it as "partial 23S ribosomal RNA". It matches the Rfam family "Bacterial large subunit ribosomal RNA", at positions 1592 to 2925 of the family's 2925-position model. The record is from RNAcentral. Lineage: Bacteria; Pseudomonadati; Pseudomonadota; Gammaproteobacteria; Vibrionales; Vibrionaceae.